RNAcentral lists this ribosomal RNA (886 nucleotides) under uncultured bacterium. RNAcentral's name for it is "bacterial SSU rRNA". It matches the Rfam family "Bacterial small subunit ribosomal RNA", at positions 8 to 916 of the family's 1533-position model. The record is from RNAcentral.
AGAGUUUGNAUCCUGGGCUCAGGGGUAAACGCUGGCGGCGUGCCUAAAACAUGCAAGUCGAAACGGGCAGUCUUCGGACUGUCAGUGGCAGACGGCUGAGUAACGCGUGGGUGACGUACCUAUUGGUGGGGAAUAACUGCCCGAAAGGGUGGCUAAUACCGCAUACGUCCGCUGGAGUGGUCCAGUGGGGAAAACCGUAAGGUGCCGAUGGAGCGGCCCGCGUUCGAUUAGCUGGUUGGUGGGGUAACGGCCUACCAAGGCGACGAUCGAUAGCUGGUCUCAGAGGAUGAUCAGCCAGACUGGGACUGAGACACGGCCCAGACUCCUACGGGAGGCAGCAGUUAGGAAUUUUGGGCAAUGGGCGCAAGCCUGACCCAGCAACGCCGCGUGGGUGACGAAGGCCUUCGGGUUGUAAAGCCCUUUUCUGGGGGAAGAUGAUGACGGUACCCCAGGAAGAAGCACCGGCUAACUACGUGCCAGCAGCCGCGGUAAUACGUAGGGUGCGAGCGUUGCCCGGAUUUAUUGGGCGUAAAGGGCGCGUAGGCGGUCACGCACGUCCGUUGUGAAAUCGCUCGGCUCAACUGGGCGGGGUCAGCGGAUACGGCGUGGCUGGAGCAAGCUAGGGGGCAAUGGAAUUCCCGGUGUAGUGGUGGAAUGCGUAGAUAUCGGGAGGAACACCAGUGGCGAAGGCGGUUGCCUGGAGCUUUGCUGACGCUGAUGCGCGAAAGCGUGGGGAGCGAUCCGGAUUAGAUACCCGGGUAGUCCACGCCGUAAACGAUGCGGACUAGGUGUCGGGGGUAUCGACCCCCUCGGCGCCGCAGCUAACGCAUUAAGUCCGCCGCCUGGGGACUACGGCCGCAAGGCUAAAACUCAAAGGAAUUGACGG